RNAcentral lists this non-coding RNA (87 nucleotides) under Pseudomonas moorei. The record is from RNAcentral. Lineage: Bacteria; Pseudomonadati; Pseudomonadota; Gammaproteobacteria; Pseudomonadales; Pseudomonadaceae.
CUUGACGGUAGCUGUGCGCAGGGCGCCAUUUGGCGCGCCGGCUUCGUCGUGGUCCGGUCUACUAACCUGCGUACAGCUGCCACCCUU